AGUUCCAGAACCUCUGUGCUUAUACAGGUUUGAUUUCCUUGGAAGGAGGUCAGCUGUCUCACAAAAGGAACUUUCUAGAGCUUGCAGAGCUCAAAGUUCAGCUAUCUGCUUCUUAGAGCUUUUCUGCAUGGAGUAUUUAUUGUGUGCUAAUGAUUCCUCACUCACAGUUGUUUACAGGCUCUUUAGACAGUGUGAUCCUUCAGUUUCACUUGUGAUUUUUCAGACAAGUUUUACAGGGUGGGGUUAAGAAUGGGAUAUUAUGUUAGAAUGCAGAAAUAGGGCUGUUUCUUCUUGUAUAUUUGAACUACAGGUAGUCCCUGGGUUACAGAUGAGUUCCGUUCCUGGGACCUUCCUUAAGUUAAAUUUGUAUAUACCAUCAAGUCCAAGAUGUCAUAAAGCAAACCCACAAUGAUAGUCAUAGAAAAUGUAAAACAACAGGGUACAUGUAAUGUUACUGUCCUUCUGCCAUGCUUUUCUAUUACUGAAAAAUGAGUGUAGUGGCCAAAAGUGACACAGAUGGAGAAAAUAUGCCCCAUCAAUGUGUCUAGUGAUUUUCUCUUGUUGUUUUUAUAGGUCUUUCAAUAUUUAAGUGUGCAAUGACAAAUGAGUAGUGGACAAAGUUCCAGUGUUUGGCACCGAGUUGAUGUCCUCAUUCUGUAACCUAAAAUUACAUCAAAUUAUCUGCUGGAAGUACGAAAAAAAAUUACUCAUCUUAACCUGAGCAAUCAGAAAGAUGGAAUUCAGGUUCUUUCUCACUCCAGCUUCUUUGGAAUCCCGGAAGAACACAUUUACUUAUGUUCUUGUAUAGUCAUGAUUCUAUAAUUGAGAAGUAGCAGGCAGCACAAUCUUACAGUCACUAGACAGCAUUCAAGUGGCCAUGGGAUUAUUCAUGUACCAGCUUCGAUCUUGGAAACUGGUUAGAGCUAGUAUUCCAUGAAUACAGAGGCCUCCCUUUGCUUGCAGACUCCGUGGAAGAACCAUGCCGGUUCCUUUUCUGAAGCUGCAAAUGUGAGGGUGGAAGGGAAGGAUACUGGUGUAGCCAUGGUAAUUCCUUCCCUUCUACUCCAAGGCAUGGCACUUAGACAUGUCUGAAAUGUGCCAUCUAGAGUGUUUUGCAGUGUGGGAGAAAUAUGCGUAUAACCUGCUCCGGCUGCUCUGCAUGGGAUGCCUAUAAUCUUCUGAGUUCAGAAGGUUACAGGUAACUGCAUUUGAUUGCAUCCUGAAUAAGGAUUAACCCCAUUUUGGCUUCUCUGUGGAACUAUUUGCAUUUUUCUUCUUGUUUGUAUAUUUAUUUGGCUGUGAUUGAAAUAUAGCAUCAUCAUCAUUUUCCCUAUGGUUUGCUUAGCCCUAAUUGUAAUACAUAUUAACUUAGUGCUGUUUCCUUGCUGUCUUAAUUGUAGCUUUACCAUAAAGCUACUUUCCUUAAUAAAUAUGUAAAAAAAUACUGGGGUCAUAGUAAGUGUCCUGUUAUUUAAGCCUAUAUUCAAUGUAAAUUUUGAUUUCUGUCCUGUAUUCUUAGCAACAGGGUAAUAUGGAUAUAUUAGAUUUCAAAAUUUAAUCUUGUUUAUUAGUAGCAAUAUUUAUAUACUGGUACUUAUAAAUAGGUAUUAAAUAAGAAAUAUUUAUAUCUUAUUUUGCUUGAUUAGACAUGGGUUGGUUGUUUGCAUAAGGCUAUGAUAGAAAGUGUUCCUUUAUGUGUACAUUUGUGUAUAUAUAGUUCUUGUUCCUUUCGUAGUUUGUUGUAUAAAAAGCUGUUUGUGAAGAUUCUUGUUUUGGAAGUAUCUUGGCUGGCAGUGUGGCUUCUGAAAAGAAGACUCAGAAGCCUUACUGUAGGCAGCAGCCUCCAAUUUAGUGAAAACAUGCUGCCAGUGGCAUGUGAAUGCUGCUUUAUUUUUCUGAAUCAGGGCUUAUUGAUCUUGUUGCGUUACUAUGUCCGAAUCUUUGCAACUGCAGCUCCUCCAUUUCAGCAGGAUAUGCUCUUAGGUACACCUGCAGUUCUAUGCACACCACAGUAGCUAUUCCUAGGGUUUCACUGCCCAUAUGCAUCAAGGUUAUUUAAUGCAUUAGUAUAGUAUUUUGGAAAAUUGAAUGCAAAUAAUUCUGAUUUUAACCCUUCCAGUACAUCUUCAGGAAUAUUAACUUAGUUGUGUAACAUUCCCUUUAUCUUGGAAGUAUGAUCCUGAUAACAGGAACAGUUUAAAUGAAAACAUUAUUGAUAAGAGUAAGGGCUAAGUGCUUUUUCUGACAUGUAAAGAGGGUUUCACUGUUACAUAUGUCUGAAGUGUAGCACAUAGUUCACUGUUCGGUAUUCCUCCUCUGCUCUUAAAACAUAUUUGUUUUACCUAAAGGUUUGAUUUUUAUAGAUGAACAUACUUAAGAAAUAAAAAUACACACUGAAAUCA
Varanus komodoensis (Komodo dragon) is the source of this 2402-nucleotide long non-coding RNA. RefSeq lists it as uncharacterized. The transcript is spliced from 2 exons. NCBI's taxonomy places the organism in Eukaryota, Metazoa, Chordata, Lepidosauria, Squamata, Varanidae. The record is from RefSeq and is a predicted model, not a curated record.